AAUAAGAUACCCCGGUAGUCCACGCCGUAAACGAUGUCGACUUGGAGGUUGUGCCCUUGAGGCGUGGGCUUCCGGGAGCUAACGCGUUAAGUCGACCGCCUGGGGAGUACGGCCGCAAGGUUAAAACUCAAAUGAAUUGACGGGGGCCCGCACAAGCGGUGGAGCAUGUGGUUUAAUUCGAUGCAACGCGAAGAACCUUACCUACUCUUGACAUCCAGAGAACUUAGCAGAGAUGCUUUGGUGCCUUCGGGAACUCUGAGACAGGUGCUGCAUGGCUGUCGUCAGCUCGUGUUGUGAAAUGUUGGGUUAAGUCCCGCAACGAGCGCAACCCUUAUCCUUUGUUGCCAGCGGUUAGGCCGGGAACUCAAAGGAGACUGCCAGUGAUAAACUAGGAGGAAGGUGGGGAUGACGUCAAGUCAUCAUGGCCCUUACGAGUAGGGCUACACACGUGCUACAAUGGCAUAUACAAAGAGAAGCGACCUCGCGAGAGCAAGCGGACCUCAUAAAGUAUGUCGUAGUCCGGA
RNAcentral lists this ribosomal RNA (524 nucleotides) under uncultured bacterium. RNAcentral's name for it is "bacterial SSU rRNA". It matches the Rfam family "Bacterial small subunit ribosomal RNA", at positions 776 to 1297 of the family's 1533-position model. The record is from RNAcentral.